GCGCGCGGCGGGCGGGGCGGGGGCACGGGGGGCCUACGGGAGGCAGCAGUGGGGAAUAUUGGGCAAUGGGGGCAACCCUGACCCAGCGACGCCGCGUGGGGGAAGACGGCCUUCGGGUUGUAAACGUCUAUAU
This 133-nucleotide ribosomal RNA is filed under the name uncultured bacterium. Its description in RNAcentral is "partial 16S ribosomal RNA". It matches the Rfam family "Bacterial small subunit ribosomal RNA", at positions 296 to 438 of the family's 1533-position model. The record is from RNAcentral.